CCUUAUUUGCCGCCCAUAAUUUAUUAUGCAGUUCCUUUAAUUUCGUUACUGCCUUGCUAAACAAGGUUUUCAACCGGAAGGCCGCCAUCCUUAACCCGGCGUGCAUUGCCUUAGGAUUUCAUCCCAUUGUGCAAUAUUCCCCAAUCGCUGGCAUCCCGGU
Molecule: ribosomal RNA, 160 nt
Filed under: uncultured Pseudoalteromonas sp.
Lineage: Bacteria; Pseudomonadati; Pseudomonadota; Gammaproteobacteria; Alteromonadales; Pseudoalteromonadaceae
Description: partial 16S ribosomal RNA
Source: RNAcentral